Erinaceus europaeus (western European hedgehog) is the source of this 325-nucleotide unclassified non-coding RNA. Its record names the gene 7SK. It matches the Rfam family "7SK RNA". Rfam says of the family: 7SK was discovered as an abundant small nuclear RNA in the mid-70s but a possible function has only recently been suggested. Two independent studies have found that 7SK RNA binds the CDK9/cyclin T complex (known as elongation factor P-TEFb). Lineage: Eukaryota; Metazoa; Chordata; Mammalia; Eulipotyphla; Erinaceidae. The record is from Ensembl.
GGUUGUGAGGGUGACCUGGCUGCAACUCUGUCAGUCCAUUGAUCGCCAGGGUGGAUUAGGCCGAUCUGGCUGGCUAGGUGGGUGUCCCUUCCCUCCCUCACUGCUCCUUGUGUGGCCCUCCUGAAGCUUCACCAGUUGAAGAGAACGGCCUUCUCCAAAUAAUGAUGGGCUGGUCUUUGGUCGAGGGUAUAUGAGUAGCUGCACUACCCUGCUGCAACCUCCAAACAAGCUCUCAAGGUUCAAGAAUGCUAAUAGCAAUAUGAUUUGUGAAAGCCUCAAACUAGAUAGAACCCAAAUAGCCAUCCAUAAUAUUGAUAAGAUGUUU